Molecule: ribosomal RNA, 465 nt
Filed under: uncultured bacterium
Lineage: Bacteria
Description: partial 16S ribosomal RNA
Rfam family: Bacterial small subunit ribosomal RNA
Source: RNAcentral
ACUACGGGGGGCAGCAGUGGGGAAUAUUGCGCAAUGGGCGAAAGCCUGACGCAGCGACGCCGCGUGAGGGAUGAAGGUCUUCGGAUCGUAAACCUCUGUCAGCAGGGAAGAACGGUCACUGUGCUAAUCAGCAGUGAAUUGACGGUACCUGCAAAGGAAGCACCGGCUAACUCCGUGCCAGCAGCCGCGGUAAUACGGAGGGUGCGAGCGUUAAUCGGAAUUACUGGGCGUAAAGCGCUCGUAGGCGGUAUGUCAAGUCAAGGGUGAAAUCCCCGGGCUCACCGUGGUAACUGACUUUGAAACUGGCAAACUGGAGUGUGUGAUAGGAUAGUGGAAUUCCAGGUGUAGGAGUGAAAUCCGUAGAUAUCUGGAGGAACAUCAGUGGCGAAGGCGACUAUCUGGCACAUAACUGACGCUGAGGAGCGAAAGCGUGGGUAGCAAACAGGAUUAGAUACCCCGGUAGUC